AUACCUAACGGCUGAACCAGCAACUUGGAGGAAUGUAUAGGUAAAGCUAAAUGUAUUUUUUAGUAGUAAUACAUAUUCGAUUUAUUCGUAUAAAGUUCUAGAUAGAAUUAUGAUAAUGACAUUGUCUAUCUAUAGGUCUUGGCCAAACUACGUGCCAGCAGUCGCGGUAAGACGUAAAAGACUAGUGUUAUUCAUCUUUAAUAGGUUUAAAGCGUACCUAGACGGUAAAUCAAGCCUUAAGGGGACUAAUUUAACUAGAGUUAGAUGUAAGGGUGCAUAAACGUACUGUUGUGUGUAGAGAUGAAAUUCUUUUAUACCAGAUUAUUGGCACGGGUUAAGGCGAAAGCAUCACCUUAUGUAAUAACUGACGUUGAGAGACGAAGGCUUUGUGUCGCGAACAGGAUUAGAUACCCUAGUAGUCUAAGCAGAAAAUGAUGAGUGUCAUAGGCUAAAUAUUAUUUGGUCUAUAAAUGAAAGUGUAAGCAUUCCACCUCAAGAGUAAUUUGGCAACAUUGGAAUUGAAAUCAUUAGACCGUUUUUGAAACCAGUAGUGAAGUAUGUUGUUUAAUUAGAUAAUUCACCAAGGACCCUUACCACAAUUUGAAUAUUUUACAAGUGUUGCACGGCUGUUUUCCAGUUAAUGUCGUGAGAUUAUGGUUGGUUCCAUUAAAUUAACGUAAACCCUUACUUUAUUUUAUAAAAUAUAAAGUUGUUCGCCGCUAGAUUGGUUAGAUAAAAGGGACUAAGACAAGUCAUCAUGGCCUUAAUAUUGUGGGCUACAGACGUGCCACAUAUGCCUAACAAA
This 805-nucleotide ribosomal RNA is filed under the name Scytinium aragonii. RNAcentral describes it as "SSU rRNA". It matches the Rfam family "Bacterial small subunit ribosomal RNA", at positions 379 to 1243 of the family's 1533-position model. The record is from RNAcentral. Lineage: Eukaryota; Fungi; Ascomycota; Lecanoromycetes; Peltigerales; Collemataceae.